This 496-nucleotide ribosomal RNA is filed under the name uncultured bacterium. RNAcentral's name for it is "partial 16S ribosomal RNA". It matches the Rfam family "Bacterial small subunit ribosomal RNA", at positions 28 to 506 of the family's 1533-position model. The record is from RNAcentral.
GAUGAACGCUGGCGGCGUGCCUAAUACAUGCAAGUCGAGCGAACAGAUGAGGAGCUUGCUCCUCUGACGUUAGCGGCGGACGGGUGAGUAACACGUGGAUAACCUACCUAUAAGACUGGGAUAACUUCGGGAAACCGGAGCUAAUACCGGAUAAUAUAUUGAACCGCAUGGUUCAAUAGUGAAAGACGGUUUUGCUGUCACUUAUAGAUGGAUCCGCGCCGCAUUAGCUAGUUGGUAAGGUAACGGCUUACCAAGGCAACGAUGCGUAGCCGACCUGAGAGGGUGAUCGGCCACACUGGAACUGAGACACGGUCCAGACUCCUACGGGAGGCAGCAGUAGGGAAUCUUCCGCAAUGGGCGAAAGCCUGACGGAGCAACGCCGCGUGAGUGAUGAAGGUCUUCGGAUCGUAAAACGCUGUUAUUAGGGAAGAACAAAUGUGUAAGUAACUAUGCACGUCUUGACGGUACCUAAUCAGAAAGCCACGGCGAACUACGU